CUACGGAACUCCUACGGGAGGCAGCAGUGGGGAAUAUUGCACAAUGGGCGGAAGCCUGAUGCAGCGACGCCGCGUGAGGGAUGACGGCCUUCGGGUUGUAAACCUCUUUCAGCAGGGACGAAGCGUAAGUGACGGUACCUGCAGAAGAAGCACCGGCUAACUACGUGCCAGCAGCCGCGGUAAUACGUAGGGUGCGAGCGUUGUCCGGAAUUACUGGGCGUAAAGAGCUCGUAGGCGGUUUGUCACGUCGUCUGUGAAAUCCUAGGGCUUAACCCUGGACGUGCAGGCGAUACGGGCUGACUUGAGUACUACAGGGGAGACUGGAAUUUCUGGUGUAGCGGUGGAAUGCACAGAUAUCAGGAGGAACACCGAUGGCGAAGGCAGGUCUCUGGGCCGUUACUGACGCUGAGGAGCGAAAGCAUGGGAAGCAAACAGGAUUAGAAACCCUGGUAGUCCUCUUCGA
RNAcentral lists this ribosomal RNA (463 nucleotides) under uncultured bacterium. RNAcentral's name for it is "bacterial SSU rRNA". It matches the Rfam family "Bacterial small subunit ribosomal RNA", at positions 328 to 803 of the family's 1533-position model. The record is from RNAcentral.